Molecule: ribosomal RNA, 636 nt
Filed under: Aspergillus bridgeri
Lineage: Eukaryota; Fungi; Ascomycota; Eurotiomycetes; Eurotiales; Aspergillaceae
Description: eukaryotic LSU rRNA
Rfam family: Eukaryotic large subunit ribosomal RNA
Source: RNAcentral
UUGACCUCGGAUCAGGUAGGGAUACCCGCUGAACUUAAGCAUAUCAAUAAGCGGAGGAAAAGAAACCAACCGGGAUUGCCUCAGUAACGGCGAGUGAAGCGGCAAGAGCUCAAAUUUGAAAUCUGGCCCCCUCGGGGUCCGAGUUGUAAUUUGCAGAGGAUGCUUCGGGUGCGGCCCCCGUCUAAGUGCCCUGGAACGGGCCGUCAUAGAGGGUGAGAAUCCCGUCUGGGACGGGGUGUCCGCGUCCGUGUGAAGCUCCUUCGACGAGUCGAGUUGUUUGGGAAUGCAGCUCUAAAUGGGUGGUAAAUUUCAUCUAAAGCUAAAUACUGGCCGGAGACCGAUAGCGCACAAGUAGAGUGAUCGAAAGAUGAAAAGCACUUUGAAAAGAGAGUUAAAAAGCACGUGAAAUUGUUGAAAGGGAAGCGCUUGCGACCAGACUCGCCCGCGGGGUUCAGCCGGCAUUCGUGCCGGUGUACUUCCCCGCGGGCGGGCCAGCGUCGGUUUGGGCGGCCGGUCAAAGGCCCCCGGAAUGUAGUGCCCCUACGGGGGCACCUUAUAGCCGGGGGUGCAAUGCGGCCAGCCUGGACCGAGGAACGCGCUUCGGCACGGACGCUGGCAUAAUGGUUGCAAACGACC